UAGGCCUACGGGGCGCAGCAGUGAGGAAUAUUGGUCAAUGGGCGAGAGCCUGAACCAGCCAAGUCGCGUGAGGGAGUACUGCCCUAUGGGUUGUAAACCUCUUUUGUCGGAGAACAAAACCCGGGACGUGUCCCGGACUGCGUGUAUCCGAAGAAAAAGCAUCGGCUAACUCCGUGCCAGCAGCCGCGGUAAUACGGAGGAUGCGAGCGUUAUCCGGAUUUAUUGGGUUUAAAGGGUGCGUAGGCGGUCCGUUAAGUCAGCGGUAAAAUUGCGGGGCUGAAACCCGUCGAGCGGUUGAGACUGGG
RNAcentral lists this ribosomal RNA (305 nucleotides) under uncultured bacterium. Its description in RNAcentral is "bacterial SSU rRNA". It matches the Rfam family "Bacterial small subunit ribosomal RNA", at positions 334 to 637 of the family's 1533-position model. The record is from RNAcentral.